Molecule: long non-coding RNA, 830 nt
Organism: Athene cunicularia (burrowing owl)
Lineage: Eukaryota; Metazoa; Chordata; Aves; Strigiformes; Strigidae
Exons: 2
Source: RefSeq, a predicted model, not a curated record
ACAUAGGAGACAGUAGUUUAAACAGGGUGCAAACCCAGAGAAAGCUGUUCUUAGUACCUGAAAAGCUGCAGUGUUUAUAAUCAAGAUGUUGCUGAUACCCUGUUUUUGAUCAGUAAGGAAGAUGUUCAAGCACCCAUAGUAUUUUUGUAAUGUUUUCUAUGGAAAAAUAACCUGUAUGUUAUACUGCAUCUUCCCCCCGACCCCCAACCUUUUGCAGACCUUACUGGGGAGACAGCCACUGGCUUGAGCCAUCUGCAGAGGCCCGGCAGUUGAACACUGGUUUUCCUGCCUGGCCAGCAGGCCACCACCACGGGCUCGGGACUGAGGAGGCAGCAUAAAAAGCGGCACAAGCUGUGGUUAGAAGCCUUGGUUCCACUGUUCACACAACCUGGCAUUUCUCUGGUACCAGCUGAUCGAGGUAACAUGCACUCAGGAGUGUUAAGAAAGCCCAGAGGCCUCACAGACAGAACUACCAGAACAGAAAAAAGUGCCAGACUGGAUAACUGGUGUUCUGCCAUCUUUAUGCUACCGCCUCGUCAAAGGUGUGGAACAGUGAAACGUGCAAGAUCUGCCUAUCACUGUGUUUCACUGACACCAACCUUCCUUGGGAAUGGUUCUGUGAGGGCAUGUGUUCACUAAAAACUGUACCAUAUUUUUUACUAAAGCAACCAUAAACAAGACCCUUAAACUCCACUCAGGCACAUCUCAACUAUUUUUCUCCUCCAAAGUGUAAGAGGGAUUUUUUUCUAAUCGAAUGCAUUUCAGAAUGAAUCCCUCAGCAAUACAGUUCUCAGCACUAUGCUAAUCAGUACUUCAUAAAAUUGCCUGUG